UUAAGUUCAGCGGGUAGUCCUACCUGAUUUGAGGUCAGAGUCCAAAAGAGCGCCCACGAGGGGGCAGGGGGUUAUGAGCGGGCCUCACACCAUGCCAGACGAAACUUAUCACAUCGGGCCGUGGAUGCUGAUCCCACUAAGUCAUUUGAGGCGAGCCGACAGAUGGCAGACACCCAGGUCCAAGUCCGCCCCAAGGUCAA
Molecule: unclassified non-coding RNA, 200 nt
Filed under: Tremella sp.
Lineage: Eukaryota; Fungi; Basidiomycota; Tremellomycetes; Tremellales; Tremellaceae
Description: partial internal transcribed spacer 2
Source: RNAcentral